Molecule: ribosomal RNA, 623 nt
Filed under: uncultured Flavisolibacter sp.
Lineage: Bacteria; Pseudomonadati; Bacteroidota; Chitinophagia; Chitinophagales; Chitinophagaceae
Description: bacterial SSU rRNA
Rfam family: Bacterial small subunit ribosomal RNA
Source: RNAcentral
AGUUGCUGGCGACCGGCAAACGGGUGCGGAACACGUACGCAACCUACCCAAAACUGGGGAAUAGCCCGGGGAAACCCGGAUUAAUACCUCGUAACCUAUUGGAGUGGCAUCACUUUAAUAGUAUAGCUCCGGCGGUUUUGGAUGGGCGUGCGCCUGAUUAGGUAGUUGGUGAGGGUAACGGCCCACCAAGCCUGCGAUCAGUAACUGGUGUGAGAGCACGACCAGUCACACGGGCACUGAGACACGGGCCCGACUCCUACGGGAGGCAGCAGUAAGGAAUAUUGGUCAAUGGACGCAAGUCUGAACCAGCCAUGCCGCGUGAAGGAUGAAGGUCCUCUGGAUUGUAAACUUCUUUUAUAUGGGACGAAACCCGGGAAUUCUUUCCCGAUUGACGGUACCAUAAGAAUAAGCACCGGCUAACUCCGUGCCAGCAGCCGCGGUAAUACGGAGGGUGCAGGCGUUAUCCGGAUUCACUGGGUUUAAAGGGUGCGUAGGAGGGUAGGUAAGUCAGUGGUGAAAUCUUCGAGCUUAACUCGGAAACUGCCGUUGAUACUAUCUAUCUUGAAUACCGUGGAGGUGAGCGGAAUAUGUCAUGUAGCGGUGAAAUGCUUAGAUAUGACAUA